CAUAUUUACACUGUAUUCCAUUCCAGCGCGAUGACUCAGAAUUCAGAAGGUUGGUGCUUCAGCCACCCACAGCAGGUUUUCCAGGUGCUUUUCUUCUCAGGGCCCAAGAGGAUCGUCUUGGGUGGAUGCUGCCACCUGGUGGCCAGUAUGGGAAGCUUUAAAAAGUUCCUUGAUAGAGGGAAGUGUGUCUGGUUCAGCCCUGGAAUACCGGUGCCUCCUAGGCGUUCUGCAAAUAGUAGCUGAAUGAACGAAGGAACCAAUCCACCCGAGGCAAAAUCAUCAGCAUGAAGUCGUUAGUGUAGGUGUGUGUAUCCUACAGCCACAGAAUGAAAUAUAAAAUUGGAAAAUUGAAGCGUCCGGGACCCUGAGGAACAGAAUCGUGAGCCCUUGAUGGCGAGGUUGGAUGCGUGUUGUAUUGAGAAAGUAUUGUAAUCGCGGGAGGAGGGAUCCAGACGGGAGGAG
This 462-nucleotide long non-coding RNA is filed under the name Sus scrofa (pig). RNAcentral's name for it is "lncRNA (ENSSSCG00025044107.1, ENSSSCG00035077391.1)". The record is from RNAcentral. Lineage: Eukaryota; Metazoa; Chordata; Mammalia; Artiodactyla; Suidae.